UUGGACCUACGGGGGGCAGCAGUGAGGAAUAUUGGUCAAUGGGCGGGAGCCUGAACCAGCCAAGUCGCGUGAAGGAAGAAGGUACUUAGUAUUGUAAACCUCUUUUGUCGGGGAACAAAGGCGGAGACGCGUCUCCGGAUGAGUGUACCCGAAGAAAAAGCAUCGGCUAACUCCGUGCCAGCAGCCGCGGUAAUACGGAGGAUGCGAGCGUUAUCCGGAUUUAUUGGGUUUAAAGGGUGCGCAGGCGGGAGAUCAAGUCAGCGGUCAAAUGCCGGGGCUCAAACCAGGCCGGCCGUUGAAACUGG
This 305-nucleotide ribosomal RNA is filed under the name uncultured bacterium. Its description in RNAcentral is "bacterial SSU rRNA". It matches the Rfam family "Bacterial small subunit ribosomal RNA", at positions 331 to 636 of the family's 1533-position model. The record is from RNAcentral.